This 68-nucleotide transfer RNA is filed under the name Dryobates pubescens (Downy woodpecker). RNAcentral describes it as "Picoides pubescens (downy woodpecker) tRNA". It matches the Rfam family "tRNA". Rfam says of the family: Transfer RNA (tRNA) molecules are approximately 80 nucleotides in length. Their secondary structure includes four short double-helical elements and three loops (D, anti-codon, and T loops). Further hydrogen bonds mediate the characteristic L-shaped molecular structure. tRNAs have two regions of fundamental functional importance: the anti-codon, which is responsible for specific mRNA codon recognition, and the 3' end, to which the tRNAs corresponding amino acid is attached (by aminoacyl-tRNA synthetases). tRNAs cope with the degeneracy of the genetic code in two manners: having more than one tRNA (with a specific anti-codon) for a particular amino acid; and 'wobble' base-pairing, i.e. permitting non-standard base-pairing at the 3rd anti-codon position. The record is from Rfam by way of RNAcentral. Lineage: Eukaryota; Metazoa; Chordata; Aves; Piciformes; Picidae.
GCUAGCUCAGCUGGUAGAGCACAAGACUCUUAAUCUCAGGGUUGUGGGUUUGAGCCCCACAUUGGGCA